AUGCACGCUUGGGGCGGGCCCCAUCCAUGCCGGUCGAGCGCACGGACGAGAAGCUUGCUUCUCUGAUGUUAGCGGCGGACGGGUGAGUAACACGUGGAUAACCUACCUAUAAGACUGGGAUAACUUCGGGAAACCGGAGCUAAUACCGGAUGAUAUUUUGAACCGCAUGGUUCAAAAGUGAAAGACGGUCUUGCUGUCACUUAUAGAUGGAUCCGCGCUGCAUUAGCUAGUUGGUAAGGUAACGGCUUACCAAGGCAACGAUGCAUAGCCGACCUGAGAGGUUGAUCGGCCACACUGGAACUGAGACACGGUCCAGACUCCUACGGGAGGCAGCAGUAGGGAAUCUUCCGCAAUGGGCGAAAGCCUGACGGAGCAACGCCGCGUGAGUGAUGAAGGUCUUCGGAUCGUAAAACUCUGUUAUUAGGGAAGAACAUAUGUGUAAGUAACUGUGCACAUCUUGACGGUACCUAAUCAGAAAGCCCCGGCUAACUACGUG
Molecule: ribosomal RNA, 496 nt
Filed under: uncultured bacterium
Lineage: Bacteria
Description: partial 16S ribosomal RNA
Rfam family: Bacterial small subunit ribosomal RNA
Source: RNAcentral